Molecule: long non-coding RNA, 104 nt
Organism: Thalassophryne amazonica
Lineage: Eukaryota; Metazoa; Chordata; Actinopteri; Batrachoidiformes; Batrachoididae
Exons: 3
Source: RefSeq, a predicted model, not a curated record
AUAUCCGAAAAGAAGUAGAAAAUGUUGAUCAAUGGUUUCCAGAGUCCAACAUGAUGCUUUCAAAUGUCUUGUUUUCUCCACAACCCCAAGAUAAUCAGUAUCCU